GAUGAAGAACGCAGCGAAAUGCGAUAACUAAUGUGAAUUGCAGAAUUCCGUGAAUCAUCGAGUCUUUGAACGCACAUUGCGCCCCCUGGUAUUCCGGGGGGCAUGCCUGUCCGAGCGUCAUUGCUGCCCAUCAAGCACGGCUUGUGUGUUGGGUCCUCGUCCCCCCCGGGGGACGUGCCCGAAAGGCAGCGGCGGCACCGCGUCCGGUCCUCGAGCGUAUGGGGCUUUGUCACCCGCUCUGCAGGCCCGGCCGGCGCUGGCCGACGCGAAAGCAACCAUUUUUUCUCCAGGUUGACCUCGGAUCAGGUAGGGAUACCCGCUGAACUUAAGCACAUCAAUAAGCGGAGGA
Molecule: unclassified non-coding RNA, 349 nt
Filed under: soil metagenome
Description: partial contains 5.8S ribosomal RNA, internal transcribed spacer 2, and large subunit ribosomal RNA
Rfam family: 5.8S ribosomal RNA (bases 1-120)
Source: RNAcentral